GACGGACGCUGGCGGCGUGCUUAACACAUGCGAGUCGAACGGAAAGGCCCUGCUUUUGUGGGGUGCUCGAGUGGCGAACGGGUGAGUAACACGUGAGUAACCUGCCCUUGACUUUGGGAUAACUUCAGGAAACUGGGGCUAAUACCGGAUAGGAGCUCCUGCUGCAUGGUGGGGGUUGGAAAGUUUCGGCGGUUGGGGAUGGACUCGCGGCUUAUCAGCUUGUUGGUGGGGUAGUGGCUUACCAAGGCUUUGACGGGUAGCCGGCCUGAGAGGGUGACCGGCCACAUUGGGACUGAGAUACGGCCCAGACUCCUACGGGAGGCAGCAGUGGGAAUAUUGCACAAUGGGCGGAAGCCUGAUGCAGCAACGCCGCGUGCGGGAUGACGGCCUUCGGGUUGUAAACCGCUUUCGCCUGUGACGAAGCGUGAGUGACGGUAAUGGGUAAAGAAGCACCGGCUAACUACGUG
RNAcentral lists this ribosomal RNA (467 nucleotides) under uncultured bacterium. RNAcentral describes it as "partial 16S ribosomal RNA". It matches the Rfam family "Bacterial small subunit ribosomal RNA", at positions 28 to 507 of the family's 1533-position model. The record is from RNAcentral.